UAUCUGGUUGAUCCUGCCAGCGGUGAUAUGCUCAGAUAAAAGAUUAAGCCAUGCAUGUCUAAGAACAUACUAGCUCAAAGUGAAUCUGCGAACGGCUCAUUACAACAGCUAUAACCUAAUCGGACUACCGUAAGGUGGAUAACUGCGAUAAUUUUGGAGCUAAUACGUGCAUGAGAGCGCUGAUCGUAAGUGACGCGCGCAUUUGUUAGAAUAAGACCAACAUGGGCUUGCCCGUGUUGGCGAAACUCUGAACAACUUCGCAGAUCGCAGGCUUCGGCCGGCGACAUUCCGAUCGGGUUUCUGCCUUAUCAACUAUUGAUGGGAGUCCAAGUGACUGCCAUGGUGUUGACGGGUAACGGAGAAUAAGGGUUCGACUCCGGAGAGGGAGCCUGAGAAACGGCUACCACAUCCAAGGAAGGCAGCAGGCGCGUAAAUUACCCACUCUUAAUACGAGGAGGUAGUGACUAUCAAUAACGAGGCAAGACUCUUUGAGUCUUGCUAUUGGAAUGGGAACAAUGUAAACCCUUUAUCGAGAACCUAUGAGAGGGCAAGUCUGGUGCCAGCAGCCGCGGUAAUUCCAGCUCUCAAGGCGUAUAUCGUCAUUGCUGCGGUUAAAAAGCUCGUAGUUGGAUCUGAGUUCAGUCUAUGGUGCCGUAUGGUCAACUGUAGUCUGUCUCGACGUCGGUUUGCGCGGUUCGCCGUGCUUGCUGGCUUGAUUACCUUGAAUAACUCAGGUUGUUCAUAAAAGGCUUUUGCCUAUAUGAUUUUGCAUGGAAUAAUGGAAUAAGACUCCGGUCUGUUUUGUUGGUCUUAAGACCGUUGUAAUGAUUAAAAGGGAUUGACGGGGACAUCCGUAUCGAUGCGCGAGAGGUGAAAUUCUUGGACCGCAUCGGGACGUCCUACUGCGAAAGCAUUUGUCAAGAAUGUCUUCAUUAAUCAAGAACGAAAGUCAGAGGAUCGAAGGCGAUUAGAUACCGCCCUAGUUCUGACCGUAAACGCUACCAACUAGUGAUCAGGCGGUGGCAUUCUUUGCCCUGCCUGGGAGCUUCCCGGAAACGAAAGUCUUCGGGUUCCGGGGGUAGUAUGGUUGCAAAGCUGAAACUUAAAGGAAUUGACGGAAGGGCACCACCAGGAGUGGAGCCUGCGGCUUAAUUUGACUCAACACGGGAAAUCUCACCCGGCCCGGACACUGUUAUGAUAGACAGAUUGAGAGUUUUUUCUUGAUUCGGUGGUUGGUGGUGCAUGGCCGUUCUUAGUUCGUGGAUUGAUUUGUCUGCUUUAUUGCGAUAACGAACGAGACCGCAACCUCUAAAUAGUUGUCUGAUAACUUUGUCAGUUCAACUUCUUAGUGGGAUAAGUGGCUAUAAGUCACACGAUAAGCGGCAAUAACAGGUCUGUGAUGCCCUUCGAUGUCCGGGGCCGCACGCGCGCUACACUGGUAAGAUCAGCGCGUCCUUCCUUAGCUGAAAAGCUUGGGUAAACUAUUGAAAACUUACCAUGAUUGGGAUAGGGCAUUGAAAUUAUUGCCCUUCAACGAGGAAUUCCCAGUAAACUUGAGUCAUCAGCUCAAAUUGAUUACGUCCCUGCCCUUUGUACACACCGCCCGUCGCUGCCCGGGACUGAGUUGCUUCGAGAAUUGCGAGGACUGACGCUGCGGGGCCUCACGGCUCUACGGUGUUGGAAAUCGCUGUAAUCGCAGUGGCUUGAACCGGGCAAAAGUCGUAACAAGGUGCGAUUAGGAGAACCUGACCGCGGAUCAUUG
Molecule: ribosomal RNA, 1762 nt
Organism: Strigamia maritima
Lineage: Eukaryota; Metazoa; Arthropoda; Chilopoda; Geophilomorpha; Linotaeniidae
Rfam family: Eukaryotic small subunit ribosomal RNA
Source: Rfam